This 421-nucleotide ribosomal RNA is filed under the name uncultured bacterium. RNAcentral's name for it is "bacterial SSU rRNA". It matches the Rfam family "Bacterial small subunit ribosomal RNA", at positions 355 to 774 of the family's 1533-position model. The record is from RNAcentral.
UAAGGAAUAUUGGUCAAUGGACGCAAGUCUGAACCAGCCAUGCCGCGUGAAGGAUGAAGGUCCUCUGGAUUGUAAACUUCUUUUAUCUGGGACGAAAACGGGAUUUUUAUCUCAAUUGACGGUACCAGAGGAAUAAGCACCGGCUAACUCCGUGCCAGCAGCCGCGGUAAUACGGAGGGUGCGAGCGUUAUCCGGAUUUACUGGGUUUAAAGGGUGCGUAGGUGGGCUUAUAAGUCAGUGGUGAAAUCUCCGAGCUUAACUUGGAAACUGCCGUUGAUACUAUAGGUCUUGAAUUAUCUGGAGGUAAGCGGAAUAUGUCAUGUAGCGGUGAAAUGCUUAAAUAUGACAUAGAACACCAAUUGCGAAGGCAGCUUACUAUAUAUAAAUUGACGCUGAGGCACGAAAGCGUGGGGAUCAAACA